This 148-nucleotide small RNA is filed under the name Macaca fascicularis (crab-eating macaque). RNAcentral describes it as "Metazoan signal recognition particle RNA (ENSMFAG00000062676.1)". Lineage: Eukaryota; Metazoa; Chordata; Mammalia; Primates; Cercopithecidae. The record is from Rfam by way of RNAcentral.
GCCGGGCGUGGUGGUGGGCGCCUGUAGUCCCAGCUACUCGGGAGGCUGAGGUGGGAGAAUCGCUUGAACCCAGGAGAUGGAGGUUGUAGUGAGCCAAGAUUGCACCACUGCACUCCAGCCUGGGGGACAGAGCAAGACCCCACCUCAA